ACUCGUAUUCCCGCCAUUCAUUUCACUAUUCACACACAGAGAGGAAAGCGAGAGAGAGAGAUGAAGAAGAGAGGAAGAGCAACGACGAAGAAGACAUCGGCAGCUGAUUUCCUAACACCGCCACAAGAAGCAAAGACAGUGAACACUCGCAAGAAGUCUACCGUGUCAUCGCCGAAAUCCUUCGAAUUCACGCUCAAUUCUCCGUCCUCAAAUGCUGCAAAUCGCCGGAAAUCACCGAUGAAAUCUUCGCCGCUGCGCAAAACGGAGGUGUCGUCUUCAAUAACUGAGCUGAAAGAAGCCUUGUCGUCUCAUAUUGACUCGAUUAAGCGGCAGGUUGAGCGCUCUCACUCUGACAUUCUCAAGGAGGUCGAUUCUUCUAAUUCUCGCCUACACAAGCGCUUGAAGAUUCAGGCUCAAGCAUGUCAGAACCUAAUGGAUGAGACAGACAAGGAAGUCAAGAAGAUGUCUGAAAGGGUAGCUGAAAGCUGUGAAGCAAUGAAGGCUUCAUAUUCCGAGUUCAUGGUGGAUGCACAAACCACUGCUGCUCGUGUGUGUAAGACAACCAUCCCAGAGAAAGUGCAGUCUCUUGAGAAAGCUAUUGAUUCUCUUCGCAACCGAUAUGGGAUCUUUUCACCAGCUUAAGUUGCUUUAUUCUGUUUCCUGUGUACAGACAUCUCUUCAAAACCGUUAUUCAAUCUUACUACACCGGCUUAUGUUGCCUUAUGUUGUUUCCUGCCUUUCUGGAUCGGAAUAUGCAAAGCUGUAUCAAUCCCAAAAAAUCAGGAAUCAUAAUUGAGCAUGAAUCUUCAACUUGAAUAUUCUUGUGGUUUAUACAUCGACUUUUCAAGAAUGAUGAUAUAAGACACCAUAUUAUUUUGUUUUGGCUGAAAAGAUUCGUUGAAAUGGAAACAUUUCAUGGUUAUGGGAGUUGCCGUAGUCAGCAAAACACCAUAUUCUAAGUAGAAAAAUCUUCAUCUUUCAAGUUGCAUACGUAGAUUGAUAGGCACUCGAUCUUUGAUAGAGGCAUAGAGUUGACACAUUCAACUAGCUAGUUACUACCUCCGUUCGUGAAAGUUCUUUAUGUUUUGAAAUAUGUGUCGAAAAUAUUGACCGUAAAUUUACACUAUUAUACUCCGCAUACAUCAAACAUAACAUGUGAUAUCUUAUUAGAUUUGUUUCAAUAUGUAUAUUAAAAAUACCAACUUUUUAUAAUUUUAUUUUGUAAGGAAUUGGAAAUAGUAAUGGUUAAAUAUUAAAUUGGAAGCACAUGUAAACAGGGGCAGAUCUUGGUUGUGGCUGGGGUGGGCCUGGCCCUCCCGGCCGGAAAAUUUUGUAGUGUAUUUUU
This is an RNA transcript of Spinacia oleracea (spinach), 1345 nucleotides long. RefSeq lists it as uncharacterized. The record is from RefSeq and is a predicted model, not a curated record. NCBI's taxonomy places the organism in Eukaryota, Viridiplantae, Streptophyta, Magnoliopsida, Caryophyllales, Amaranthaceae. The transcript is spliced from 6 exons.